UGUAUUCAUUUAAAGUGAAUACACAGGCAGUGAAAGUCGGGCCGGUUUAAUUCCCUCGUCUCGGUAUAGUCCUUCUUCAGACCAGACGUUCCCAUGAUUUUGCUCACUCGUUUUCAUUAACUUCUUCAAGUGCAUUAAUAUCUGAAUACAGCCACUGCCAACGCACUGCGGAUAAUUUAGUUGUAUAUUUGAUAUUGUGUGAUAUUCACGAUAAUGGCUAUUAUAAUCCCCGUAUUCUUGCCACUUUGGGUGCUUCUCAUUUCUUAUUUGUGACAAAUCAGGUUCUCCCUCGAAAUCGGAUCUCUGUUAGGACACCAAGAGAUCUCAAAUUAAUUGUAAUAGGUAAAAAUCAUUGGUGAAGUCACCAGAUGUGGAUGGCGUGUAUGUUGUUCGACAUUGCAGCGUGCUGAUGAGUUAAUAAAGAGGCAGCAAAAACCUGGGAUCUGCAUUGGCCCUGUCAAGUCUGGAGAGUGUUUUUACCAUUUAAUGAAUUCAAUUGUAAUAAAAGUUUUUAAAUGGA
This is a long non-coding RNA of Carassius auratus (goldfish), 520 nucleotides long. RefSeq lists it as uncharacterized. The record is from RefSeq and is a predicted model, not a curated record. The transcript is spliced from 4 exons. Lineage: Eukaryota; Metazoa; Chordata; Actinopteri; Cypriniformes; Cyprinidae.